CUCCCCCAAGGAUUUCCUAUUUUUGAACAGCUGCUUUCUUCUGGCAGGGGAUCUGUCUCCAUCAGGUGAACUAUGGCCGUAAGCAGGAGGUACCAGAGCCCCAGAAGCAGAUUAAUGGAGCCCCGUGGCUUGUUAGGAAGGAGCAGAGUGUGUCUGGAGCACACUUUCCUUUUCACGUGGGAGUGUAGCAGCAGCGCCGCUGAAGCUUUCACUCACACAGCUCCCAAGGAAAAAUCCUGCAGCCUCUUCAGAACUGUGGUUUUCAAAGCUGGGAUGUCCAAGAUCAAGGCACUUGAGGAGUUAGGAUGUGGCGUGUACUGAUUUUAGUACAUCUUCAAGAUGGCAUGGCAUCUCUUGUUCACCCAAGCGAAAGGAGGGAGUGAGCCGAGCGUCCUGGCACUCAGAAGCCAAGCCCAAUUAUCAGUUGGGAUUCCGUCCCCGGAAAGACAGUAACCAAGACUGAGACAACGUUGCCUUGACUCCAGCUAUGCACCCAACCCCUCCAGCCCUUUCUCCAGCUGUCUUGGUGUUAAAAGCUGGGUGAGACAGCAUUUCCUGAGGCUUGGUGGUAGGAACACGGAAUCAGUGAAGCAGCAGAGUCUGACAAUCGGGAAUUCGGACAAGGGCCAGCACAGACAGCUCAUUUCCGCGUUUCUACAUCCGGGACCUAGGUUAGAAGACGCGGAAGGGGCGGGAAGAUAGUGGUGGGUCACUGGAUAGCGCCUAAACAUACGUCCCCACGACUCCACAGACUGUACGCUAAGACUGUUUGGAUUUGCUUACAGCCCCAUUCCUACAGAACACGCCAGACUCUCACCCAUGGCUUGUGAAAUAGAGGUCAUGGGAGAGUAUUGCUUACUGGCUUGCUCAUCCUGCUUCCUGAUACCGGCAUGUUCUCAGCUAAGGGCUUUCCUUUCCAAAUAACUCUAGCUUGUGUCAAGUUGUCAAAAACUAACCAGCACAUAGAGGGACUCAAUCUGCACCUGUUCAUCGUUUAUAAACAAAUAUUUUAGUUUUUGUUUCUUUGUUUUUUCGAGACAGAGUUUCUCUGUGUAGCCCUGACUGUCCUAGACCUUGCUUUGUAGAUUAGGCUGGCCUCAAGUUUACAGAAUCCCCCUGCUUGUGCCUGCUGAGUGCUAGGAUUAAAGGUGUGUUCUACCGUGCCUAGCAAGUGCCGUAGUUCUGCCAGAGCUUAUCUUUGGAUAAAAUGAAAUCUUCCCGUAUUCAAUAACAGGGUACACUGCCCAGGCCUUGUUUACUUGUUUCACAGCUCUGUUUUGUGAGUUUGUUUUCUGGCAGCCAUCUCAAUUCAAGAAUGGAAGGGACUAGAAGAAGAAUGGAGGGCUGGAGGAAAGAUAAAGCCAGGAAAUUGCUUUAUUUUCCUGCUCUGUACUUGAUCUCCUCUGGGGCGCCAAAUGCUGCUGGGCAGAGACAGAACCACUUCAGCUGGGUAGUGGUGGAGCACAUCUUUAAUCCCAGCACUCUAGAAGGCAGAGGCAGGUAGAUCUCUGUGAAUUUGAGGCCAAUCUGAUCUAUAAAGCAAGUUCCUAGACAAUCAGGGUUACACAGAGAAACCCUGUCUUGAAAAACCAAAAGCAACCAACCAGACAAACACCCCUAUAAUGCCGCAAUCUAGCUCUUCCCCACCCCCUCUGGCUUUGAGGGUAAGACUGUGCAGCUGUGGAUCAUCUUCUGAAGUUAUGUCAUCUCCUGUUUCACUUGUUUUAUUAAUCACAUGUGUAAAUAAUGUGUAUCACAGUCUAGCUGUUCAGCAUACCUAUGCCUAGAGAUAGUGUCUCUCACCUGGAGACACAGCUACUUAAGAGAAUGAGGUGGGAAGAAACCUUGGAGCCAGGAGUUUGGGGCAACAGAGUAAGACCUGCCUCAAGGAAAACCACACACCAGAAAAAAAGACCACAGACUGUUGCUAUGGACCUAUAAUUUCAGCACUAAGAAAGUGAAGGUGGAGGCUGGAGAGAUGGCUCAGAGGUUAAAAGCAUUGGCUGCUCUUCCAAAGGACCUGAGUUCAAUUCCCAGCAACCACAUGGUGGCUCACAACCAUCUAAAAUAAGAUCUGAUAUCUUCUUCUGGCAUGCAGGUGUAUAUGCAGAUAGAACAUUGUAUACAUAAUAAAUAAAAUAUUAAAAAAAAAAGUGAAGGCAAGAGAAUCAAGAUCAAGGCUAACCUCAACUACAUAGUGAAAGCCCAUCUUUUUUUUUUUAUAUUGAUUUCCCUUUCAGGCUCAGUGUUUAAACAAUUAGUCCCCAGCUUGUGACACUGUUCUGAGGCUAUGAAACUUUUGGGAGGUAGAACAAUGAUAAUGGAUGUGCGGGUAUGGCACUGAGGAUUUUUUGUUUUGUAUUGUCUGUGUUUUUAGGUUUUUGAGACAGGGUUGCUCUGUGUAGCUCUGGCUGUCCUAGAAUUCUGGACAUUCAGUCUGUCUAGAAUUCAGUCUGUAGACCAGGCUGGCCUUGGACUCAGAGAUUCAUUUGCCCUCUUUUUUUCUGGGGGGGGGGGGUUAUAGCCUCACUUCAUCACACACACACACACACACACACACACACACACACACACAGAGUCUGCUCUGUUAUCCACUGAAAUGUGAAAAAGUGAAAAGUCCCAGCCACAUGUUCCUGCCACCAUGGAGUCAAGCUGUCACCAAACCAUGAGCCAAAAUAAACCCUUCCCUCUGUGGUGGUUUGAAUAGGAAUGGCCCCCAUAGACACAUGGGUUUGAAUGCUUGGCUGAUAGGGAGUGGCACUGUUAGGAGGUGUGGCCUUGUUCGAGGAAGUGUGUCACCGUGGGGCCAGGCUGGCCAGGCUUUGACGUCUCCUGUGCUCAAGCUAUGCCCAUCGAGGAAAUAGUCUUCUUCUGGCUGCCUUCGCAUCAAGAUGUACAACUCUCAGCUCCUUCUCUAGCAGCAUGUCUGCCUAGACGCUGCCAUGCUUCCUACCAUAAUGAUAAUGGACUAAAUCUCUGCAACUGUAAGCCAA
Molecule: long non-coding RNA, 2993 nt
Organism: Meriones unguiculatus (Mongolian gerbil)
Lineage: Eukaryota; Metazoa; Chordata; Mammalia; Rodentia; Muridae
Exons: 3
Source: RefSeq, a predicted model, not a curated record